UUAGAUGGAAAACAUACAUAAUUUUGGGUUUCACUUCAAUGAAACAUUUAUUGGGUCCAGGAAUCACUGCUGAUAUCCUUGUUCUUAUUCUGUUUAGAUCUUAUUUUAUCCGUUUAUUUGCAGAUACUUGCUCUUCUAUUCUUGAGGCAUGUUUUGUACCUAGCCAGUGGAGACACAGACGAUGAAUUAUCUCGAUAUAUCUCUAUUUCCCUCCUUCGUGCUACUGGCCUUCUCCCUUGUUACAUUGUGUCCUGGACUAUCAGCAUAUUGCAGCGCCGUAGGGAGCAACAGAUAUAGUGGAGGUAAUUUUUCAACUUCCCUCCCAUAGUUGUAAAAAGCGAGCCUGAGGCGCAAAAGCGCUGAGGCUCACUGAACGGGGCUUUUUCAACACUGAAGCGAGGCACGUAGCUUAGGCGCACCUAGGCGCAGUGAGGCUCUGAGGCGCGAGGCUCAGUCGAGGCGCAAUUGAGGCACGAUGUGGGAUAUCAGCCUGUUAAUCGAACAAAGUUGA
Molecule: long non-coding RNA, 511 nt
Organism: Hibiscus syriacus
Lineage: Eukaryota; Viridiplantae; Streptophyta; Magnoliopsida; Malvales; Malvaceae
Exons: 3
Source: RefSeq, a predicted model, not a curated record